RNAcentral lists this ribosomal RNA (301 nucleotides) under uncultured bacterium. Its description in RNAcentral is "partial 16S ribosomal RNA". It matches the Rfam family "Bacterial small subunit ribosomal RNA", at positions 509 to 807 of the family's 1533-position model. The record is from RNAcentral.
CAGCCGCCGCGGUAAUACGAAGGGUGCAAGCGUUAAUCGGAAUUACUGGGCGUAAAGCGUGCGUAGGCGGUGAGUUAAGUCUGCUGUGAAAUCCCCGGGCUCAACCUGGGAAUGGCAGUGGAUACUGGCUCGCUAGAGUGUGUCAGAGGAUGGUGGAAUUCCCGGUGUAGCGGUGAAAUGCGUAGAGAUCGGGAGGAACAUCAGUGGCGAAAGCGGCCAUCUGGGACAACACUGACGCUGAGGCACGAAAGCGUGGGGAGCAAACAGGAUUAGAUACCCGUGUAGUCCCUGUCUCUUAUAC